RNAcentral lists this ribosomal RNA (425 nucleotides) under uncultured bacterium. RNAcentral's name for it is "partial 16S ribosomal RNA". It matches the Rfam family "Bacterial small subunit ribosomal RNA", at positions 354 to 796 of the family's 1533-position model. The record is from RNAcentral.
GUAGGGAAUCUUGCGCAAUGGGCGAAAGCCUGACGCAGCCAUGCCGCGUGAAUGAUGAAGGUCUUAGGAUUGUAAAAUUCUUUCACCGGGGACGAUAAUGACGGUACCCGGAGAAGAAGCCCCGGCUAACUUCGUGCCAGCAGCCGCGGUAAUACGAAGGGGGCUAGCGUUGCUCGGAAUUACUGGGCGUAAAGGGAGCGUAGGCGGACAGUUUAGUCAGAGGUGAAAGCCCAGGGCUCAACCUUGGAAUUGCCUUUGAUACUGGCUGUCUUGAGUACGGGAGAGGUGAGUGGAACUCCGAGUGUAGAGGUGAAAUUCGUAGAUAUUCGGAAGAACACCAGUGGCGAAGGCGACUCACUGGCCCGUUACUGACGCUGAGGCGCGAAAGCGUGGGGAGCAAACAGGAUUAGAUACCCGUGUAGUCC